GGGGAUGUACUGGUUUCGACGGGGACAUUUGUAAGGGUGAUAAGCAAGCCGCAGUUGAAUACCCUGCGUUAAAAAGAUUCACCUAAAAAUAAUUGCUAAAACAAACAAAACUGCAGAGGUGGGUUCUCCCGCUCUGCUUGCUGCCUAAGUAACAGGUAGCCUUCUGUUCUCUCCUUUCCUGUUUGGGAGGGAAACGGGAGCAAAUUUAAAACAGGCUCCCACGCAGCCAAAGCUUUGAGGCGGCGCGGAUUUUAUGAAGCUACUUCUUUUCUGUUUUUGUGGAUAGGGGCUUAAAGAGGGAAAUAACACAAAAUCCAAUAAGCUUGUAGAAAGUUGCCUGGGCAGGUUUUCGGACGCGGGUUCAACUCCCGCCAUCUCCACCA
RNAcentral lists this transfer-messenger RNA (383 nucleotides) under Christensenellaceae bacterium OttesenSCG-928-K19. It matches the Rfam family "transfer-messenger RNA". From Rfam's summary of the family: Bacterial tmRNA, also known as 10Sa RNA or SsrA, is named for its dual tRNA and mRNA-like properties. Its role is to liberate the mRNA from a stalled ribosome. The record is from RNAcentral. Lineage: Bacteria; Bacillati; Bacillota; Clostridia; Christensenellales; Christensenellaceae.